UUGAAGAUUGUUCGCGAUUUUGGCUGGAUUCUCCUUGCGAUUUUUCUUGAUUUUCUUGAACGAGACAUCUUGCGAUCUGAUUCUAUUUCUUGGGAUUAAAGUUUGUUUGGGUGAUUGAGGAGGAAAGAGCCUUGCAACAGGGUUCUCUUCCCAGUGGAAAAUAAGACAGUGUUCUUGCUGAUCGUUGUCAAGGAUUCUUGCGGGAAUUCUGCUCGCGAUUUUGACUGGAUUAUGCUCGUGAUUUUCUUGAUUGAGUUUUUUUUUUCCCGCUAUGAUCCUCGAGAAUUGAACAGUCUGCUACUUGUAAUUUUCUGCUCGCGAUUUUCUUGAUUGGGAUUUUUCUUUCUGGUGGAACUUGUGAUUCCCUGAUAAAAUCGAUCGUCCGCUCCAGCAAUCAAGAAAUUGGAGAACUGCUGAUAGUUGCCGAGACCACUGCCGGCUAUUUCUGGAAGUCAAGAUUGUCUGCUGCUCUCGAUCUGAUUCACGAUUCUCGCGAUCUGAUGCUGCUCCCGGUUCACGAUUCAGGAGCUGCUCGCGAUCUGAUUGGAGGACUCGCGAUCUGUUUCUGCUCGCGACCAGAUUGGAGGAUUCACGAUUCUUUCUGCUCGCGAUCUGAUUGGAGGACACUUCUUGCGAUCUAGUUUUGGCGAUUCUUGAGUACAAUUCUUGCGUGUUCUGUUCUAGUCCUUCUGUUGCGAUUUGAACAAGGAGGAUCUUCUUACACGCGACUCUGCUCGAGGCUCACGUUGCUGCGAUUCUUUGGCUUGCUGAUUGGACGGGACUGGAGGGGAAAUUCUGGAGGCUGAAAUCCAGAUAUUUUUUAUUUUUAUUUUUUGCUCUCUUCCAUUUAGACUUUUAUUUUGCUUGCAUUGGUUGUUGUGUCUCCCUACUCGUCUCCAUACAAACUUAGC
Molecule: long non-coding RNA, 911 nt
Filed under: Zostera marina
Lineage: Eukaryota; Viridiplantae; Streptophyta; Magnoliopsida; Alismatales; Zosteraceae
Description: long non-coding RNA (ZMAR_LNC005702)
Source: RNAcentral